AUGGAGUCCGCUUGAGAGUCUCUUUUCCUCUGCCACUCCCCCUACUCAUGGCAAGCCUGAGAGCAACCGUGGGGGAGGUGGUGAUCUGACAGGAUCACUUUGUACCCAGGCACUCUGGAUCUGGCUGCCAGCCACCCUGCCCCUGCAGACCAUGGGAUGUGCGGGAUGUUGCCCUGGGGAAGGAAAUCUCUGGUCCUAAUGAAAGCUUACUCUGGAGCAAAGAAGGACUACAUGUUCUGUUGUCAUCCACUUCCAAGUGCAGACAGGAGUCCACGUGGAAGAGCAGGAGGGCUGUGAGGGACUGGAUUCUGUGUCCCUCAGUACACUGUGUCCCCUUCAUAUGCUGAAACCCUAACCCCCACUGUGAUGGUCUUAGGAGGUGAGGCCUUUGGGGUGAUUAGGUCAUGAGGCUUCGUGGAUAGGAAGAGACAUGAGAAUCUCUCUUCUCUUUCUCUCUCUCUCUUCCUCUCUCUCCCUGAUGGAACAAUAAGAGGGUGGCCAUCAGCAGACCAAGAAGAGUGCCCUCACCAGACACUGGAUCUGCUGGUACCUCAAUCAUGGACUUCCCAGGGGCGCCUGGGUGGCUCAGUCGUUAAGCGUUUGCCUUCGGCUCAGGUCAUGAUCCCAGGGUCCCGGGAUCGAGCCCCGCAUUGGGC
Long non-coding RNA from Zalophus californianus (California sea lion), 656 nucleotides. RefSeq lists it as uncharacterized. The transcript has 3 exons. Lineage: Eukaryota; Metazoa; Chordata; Mammalia; Carnivora; Otariidae. The record is from RefSeq and is a predicted model, not a curated record.